GCUGCUCCUAGUACGAGAGGACCGGAGUGGACGCAUCACUGGUGUUCGGGUUGUCAUGCCAAUGGCACUGCCCGGUAGCUAAAUGCGGAAGAGAUAAGUGCUGAAAGCAUCUAAGCACGAAACUUGCCCCGAGAUGAGUUCUCCCUGAGACUAUAAGUCUCCUGAAGGAACGUUAAAGACGAUGACGUUGAUAGGCCGGGUGUGUAAGCGCAGCGAUGCGUUGAGCUAACCGGUACUAAUGAACCGUGAGGCUUAACCUUAC
RNAcentral lists this ribosomal RNA (262 nucleotides) under Klebsiella pneumoniae subsp. pneumoniae KPNIH22. RNAcentral's name for it is "partial 23S ribosomal RNA". It matches the Rfam family "Bacterial large subunit ribosomal RNA", at positions 2671 to 2925 of the family's 2925-position model. The record is from RNAcentral. Lineage: Bacteria; Pseudomonadati; Pseudomonadota; Gammaproteobacteria; Enterobacterales; Enterobacteriaceae.